CUACGUAUACACAAAAUCAGAUCCUGAAAAUUAGGAAUUAUUUAUGAAUACAGCCUAAACAUAACAGCUAUAGGACCAGAGACGGAUUUUUGGGGGGCUGGGCUGGGCUGUAGCCCCCCCCCCAACUCAGGCCCAAGAACAUUAUUUUUAAGGUAUUUUUUAUUUUUUUGGUAAAAAACCAAUUUUUUAUGUGUAAAUUUUUUUUCCGCAUAGUAGUCCGAUUUGAGAUUUUGUAGUCCAAUUUUGAAUCUAAUUCUGGAUCUGUCCUUGUAUAGGACCAACAACACAGCUACUUUCUUUCACUCAAGUAGAUUCUAUUUUUGGUAAAAAUAGCCACUCUACUUCUUCAAUAACAGACCUGUGUUUUUCUUUGUAAGGUGUCAACAGAAAAUUUCAAAACUUGCAAGUAGCUUCUCUUGUUCCAAUGAUCUAUGGUUUCUGCUCUAUUUAAUUCAAAUAUUCAUCUCAUUACUUCCCCUCAAGAUGGAGAUGCAAUUGAAUAAAUCCCCAUCUUGCCUGAGAGAUAUUGGAACUUCUUUGAACCAAUUGCCUUCGUCAUCAUAUCUGCAGCUUGUAAAUUUGUUCAUAUGUGAAAUGUCUUUAUCGAACCGACCUUUAUUUUCUCCCUCACAAUGUGACAAUCAAUCUCUAUGUGUUUUGUUCUCUCAUAAUAACCUGAAUUUGAAGCAAUAUGAACAGCUGCUUGAUUAUCACAGAAUAAU
This 722-nucleotide long non-coding RNA is filed under the name Olea europaea subsp. europaea. Lineage: Eukaryota; Viridiplantae; Streptophyta; Magnoliopsida; Lamiales; Oleaceae. The record is from RNAcentral.